CGGAAUACCACCAGCUGCCAGGGAGAACGAGCUUGGAGCUAGCGGCAGGGCUUAACCCGGCGAAGCUCUGAGAUGGGUUGCUGAAGGAUUCCGGGAGGCAGCUGCAACAGGGCAUCACUCACUGUCCAGGCAUAUCCGUUUCUGAGUGCAAAAGGAAGAACUUGAGCGAGCGGCAAUUGGAGUGAAAAUUGCUUUGUAGUAUCUAAAAGCAGCAUGGAUCGUGGGCAGCUGAGCUGCAACAAAUCAACAGAAAUUCAUGUGAAAAUCAUUGACCACCAUAUGCUGCUCCAGCUUCCUUCAGCUCCUAAUUCUAGGAGCUUGACAACUAAAGCAAACCACAGACAGCCACAGGCACUCACUGCCAGCCCUGACAAAAAAAAUCACAAAAGUCACCUCACAGGAGUGUGAGACCUUAAGGAAAAGUCCAUUCCUUCCUGAUGGUUGGUUUAAGAAUGGAAAAGGGGGAAAGGCCCAAUGAACAGCUAUUCUGAAUGCUGUUAUUCCUCGGCUUCCUGCUGUGUAUUUGCUGAUUCUGAGGCUAUAGUUUACCUAAGUUCUCUUGAAAAGGACAGUACAUAGCUUGUUUUUCUUAGAUUUUGCUGUCAUGAUUUCUCCUCUAUUCAAUUAUGUAUGCCUUUAAACUUUCAAGGUAUCUAAUGGGAUUUCUCCUCUCCCCACUGCUAUCUGGUUUCAUUAUGUUUUAAAUUAGUGUAAUUUUUAUAAUAACUUUGCCAUUAAAAUUCAAAACUUAGAAUGAUAGGUAAGAAAACAUUUGUGAUUAGUCUUCCAUUUUCAAACUGAAUUUAAUCUGUCAUAACCUAACACUUAUUUUGCUUGCAGACUGUAUAAAUUAUAUUGCAAUGAAGUUAUUAAAGGUACAAUUGAUUAACAAACACAUUUGUUGUAAUAAUAUUUUCACUUCAAGAGAGGUCAUUGAAAUAUAUGUAGAUGUGUUGGGAG
This is a long non-coding RNA of Bos indicus x Bos taurus (hybrid cattle), 960 nucleotides long. The record is from Ensembl. NCBI's taxonomy places the organism in Eukaryota, Metazoa, Chordata, Mammalia, Artiodactyla, Bovidae.